Triticum dicoccoides is the source of this 418-nucleotide long non-coding RNA. RefSeq lists it as uncharacterized. NCBI's taxonomy places the organism in Eukaryota, Viridiplantae, Streptophyta, Magnoliopsida, Poales, Poaceae. The record is from RefSeq and is a predicted model, not a curated record. The transcript has 4 exons.
AGGAUUUCAGUGUUUCUAAAGAAAGGGACAAGGAUCAGGGCUAUAAGAUUGUUGAAAGACUCAGAGACAUGUACCAUGAAUUGGGUAUAUUCCGCAAGCUGCGGCACACAUGGUCUGCCUUCGUGUCGUCCUACCUGCUUCAGGGCCCUCUACUUCUUCCCCCAAGAUUGCCAUUAUGAUUAACAAAUCUGACGAGAGCAAUUUAAUUGGUGACACAUCAUAUUUAUUCUGCAACUGCAUGUGAAUUCUCAUCUUGCGCCUACCUCUUUUGCUUACCAGUGAAGAUGGAGAGCUUUAGGCAAAAAAAGAAAGAAAAAAAACUAGCACGUGAUCUAUGGAGAAUAAUUUUGACAGCAACUCCAACUAUGCAAUGGAGUACACUUGAUGCGAUCAAUUCUGGUGUGUGUGUGUGUGUGUG